Molecule: small nuclear RNA, 168 nt
Organism: Mastomys coucha (southern multimammate mouse)
Lineage: Eukaryota; Metazoa; Chordata; Mammalia; Rodentia; Muridae
Product: U1 spliceosomal RNA
Exons: 1
Source: RefSeq, a predicted model, not a curated record
AAAAAGCCAUGCAAGGGUGAUAGGUACCAUGAUCCUGAAGGUGAUUUUCCCCCACAAGCCUUAUUCGCUGCACUCUGGAUUUGCUGACCCCUGCAAUUUCCCCAAAUUCAGGGAGACUUGACUGUGUAAUUAGUGGUAGUUGGGGACUGCAUUUGCAAUCUACCCUGA